GAUGAAGAACGCAGCGAAAUGCGAUACUUGGUGUGAAUUGCAGAAUCCCGUGAACCAUCGAGUCUUUGAACGCAAGUUGCGCCUCAAGCUAUUAGGUUGAGGGCACGUCUGCCUGGGCGUCACAUAUCGUUGCCUGAUGCCAGUUUCCUCGUGAUGGGUGACUGUGCAGGGCGAAUGAUGGCUUCCCGUGAGCAUUGUUGCCUCAUGGUUGGUUGAAAAUUGAGUCCUUGGUAGGGAGCGCCGUGAUAGAUGGUGGUUGAGUGACGAACGAGACCCAAUCAUGUGAGACCCCUACCGAAUUUGGCCUUCAUGACCCACAUGCGUCUUUGGAACGCUCAUGACGAGACCUCAGGUCAGGCGGGGCUACCCGCUGAGUUUAAGCAUAUCAAUAAGCGGAGGA
This 400-nucleotide unclassified non-coding RNA is filed under the name soil metagenome. Its description in RNAcentral is "partial contains 5.8S ribosomal RNA, internal transcribed spacer 2, and large subunit ribosomal RNA". The stretch from base 1 to 122 matches the Rfam family "5.8S ribosomal RNA", at positions 35 to 154 of the family's 154-position model. The record is from RNAcentral.